AUUCCAGCUCCAAUAGUGUAUAUUAAAGUUGUUGCAGUUAAAAAGCUCGUAGUUGGAUUUCUGGCGGGAGCGAUCGGUCCUUCACUCAGUGUUGGAACCUGAUUGUCUCCUGCCAUCCAUGGAGAAAACUUAUCUGGCAUUAAGUUGUCGGGUAGGCAAUCUCCAUCUUUUACUGUGAAAAAAUUAGAGUGUUCAAAGCAGGCUUAUGCCGUUGAAUAUAUUAGCAUGGAAUAAUAAGAUAGGACUAUGGUUCUAUUUUGUUGGUUGGAGGCCAAGGUAAUGAUUAAUAGGGAUAGUUGGGGGUAUUCAUAUUUAAUUGUCAGAGGUGAAAUUCUUGGAUUUAUGGAAGAUGAACUCAUGCGAAAGCAUUUACCAAGGAUGUUUUCAUCA
This 390-nucleotide ribosomal RNA is filed under the name Rhizosolenia sp. Its description in RNAcentral is "partial small subunit ribosomal RNA". It matches the Rfam family "Eukaryotic small subunit ribosomal RNA", at positions 582 to 975 of the family's 1831-position model. Lineage: Eukaryota; Bacillariophyta; Coscinodiscophyceae; Rhizosoleniales; Rhizosoleniaceae. The record is from RNAcentral.